GGCUCGGUAGUGUAAUGGAUAACACAGUUCCCCGCUAAGAUAUUGAUUCGAGUUCGAAUCUCGACCGAGCCACCA
This 75-nucleotide transfer RNA is filed under the name Candidatus Peregrinibacteria bacterium. Its description in RNAcentral is "tRNA-Ser". It matches the Rfam family "tRNA". Rfam says of the family: Transfer RNA (tRNA) molecules are approximately 80 nucleotides in length. Lineage: Bacteria; Candidatus Peregrinibacteriota. The record is from RNAcentral.